AUCCAGCUGGAGGACGAGUCCCAAAUAGGACGAAAUGCGCGUUAUCCUGGAU
This 52-nucleotide non-coding RNA is filed under the name Trichobilharzia regenti. The record is from RNAcentral. Lineage: Eukaryota; Metazoa; Platyhelminthes; Trematoda; Strigeidida; Schistosomatidae.